RNAcentral lists this ribosomal RNA (658 nucleotides) under uncultured fungus. RNAcentral describes it as "eukaryotic LSU rRNA". It matches the Rfam family "Eukaryotic large subunit ribosomal RNA", at positions 24 to 664 of the family's 3401-position model. Lineage: Eukaryota; Fungi. The record is from RNAcentral.
CCCGCUGAACUUAAGCAUAUCAAUAAGCGGAGGAAAAGAAACUAACAAGGAUUCCCCUAGUAACUGCGAGUGAAGCGGGAAAAGCUCAAAUUUGAAAUCUGGCGGUCCCUUGACCGUCCGAGUUGUAAUCUAGAGAAGUGUUACCUGUGCUGGACCGUGUACAAGUCUCCUGGAAUGGAGCAUCAUAGAGGGUGAGAAUCCCGUCUUUGACAUGGACUACCUGCACGUUGUGGUGCGCUCUCAAAGAGUCGAGUUGUUUGGGAAUGCAGCUCAAAAUGGGUGGUAAAUUCCAUCUAAAGCUAAAUAUUGGCGAGAGACCGAUAGCGAACAAGUACCGUGAGGGAAAGAUGAAAAGAACUUUGGAAAGAGAGUUAAACAGUACGUGAAAUUGCUGAAAGGGAAACGCUUGAAGUCAGUCGCGUCAUCCAGGGAUCAACCUUGCUUCUGCUUGGUGCACUUUCUGGUUUGAUGGGUCAGCAUCAAUUUUGACCAUUGGAAAAAGGCUAAGGGAAUGUGGCAUCUUCGGAUGUGUUAUAGCCUCUGGUCGCAUACAUCGGUUGGGAUUGAGGAACUCAGCACGCCGCAAGGCCGGGUUUUUACCACGUACGUGCUUAGGAUGCUGGCAUAAUGGCUUUAAUCGACCCGUCUUGAAACACGG